This is a long non-coding RNA of Papilio polytes (common Mormon), 184 nucleotides long. RefSeq lists it as uncharacterized. NCBI's taxonomy places the organism in Eukaryota, Metazoa, Arthropoda, Insecta, Lepidoptera, Papilionidae. The record is from RefSeq and is a predicted model, not a curated record. The transcript is spliced from 3 exons.
GACCCGCUCCGGGAACACUGCCAAGACGUAGACGAGUGUACAGAAGGACUGCACACGUGCCACCACAGCGCGCGCUGCGUCAACACAGAAGGAAGUUUCAAGUGUGAAUGUGAUACAGAACCAUGUCAAUUAAGCUGCAUGUGGCAGGGGCGCGAGGUGGCGGCGGGCGCGCGCUGGGCGGAGG